RNAcentral lists this ribosomal RNA (253 nucleotides) under uncultured bacterium. RNAcentral's name for it is "partial 16S ribosomal RNA". It matches the Rfam family "Bacterial small subunit ribosomal RNA", at positions 524 to 776 of the family's 1533-position model. The record is from RNAcentral.
UACGUAGGCAGCAAGCGUUGUUCGGAGUUACUGGGCGUAAAGAGCUCGUAGGCGGCUUGUUGCGUCGACCGUGAAAACCCGUGGCUCAACUGCGGGCUUGCGGUCGAUACGGGCGGGCUAGAGUUCGGUAGGGGAGACUGGAAUUCCUGGUGUAGCGGUGAAAUGCGCAGAUAUCGGGAGGAACACCGGUGGCGAAGGCGGUUCUCUGGGCCUUACCUGACGCUGAGGCGCGAAAGCUAGGGGAGCAAACAGG